AGUUGUUUCAGUGUGGGGUUAAGAGCUGAAGGACAGGAUGCCCCCUUCCCCAGGAGCUGCUGGGGCUUUCGCUGGGCGUGUGCCUACCCACCCACCCACUGUGAGCUGUUGACUUGGUGAUGUGCAUUCCCUGGGAGAGGCCGUCUCACUUGUUUCCUCUCUGGGAUUCCUCCUUGGAGUGCUGGAAGGUGAGAGGGAGUGAGGAGCAGGCAGGGGCUGGGGCUGAUGGACACCCAGGGAAGCCUUCCAGUAGACAAACCCGAUGCAGGAAGACCUCCUUUUAUCACGUUUGUGGCUAGGAAUUGGGUCUUUUUGGAUUUGCCUCAAGGCUUCCCUAAGAAUCCUUUUUUCUUUUUCUUUCUUUUUUUCUUUUUUUUUAAAUGGAGUUUUCGCUCUUGUUGCCCAGGCUGGAGGGCAAUGGUGCAAUCUCGGCUCACUGCAACCUCUGCCUCCUGGGUUCAAGUGGUUCUCCUGUCUCAGCCUCCCAAGUAGCUGGGACUACAAGCACGUGCCACCAUGCCUGGCUAAUUUUUGUAUUUUUAGUACAGAUGAGGUUUCACCAUGUUGGCCAGGCUGGUCUCGAACUCCUGACCUCAGGUGAUCCACCUGCCUCGGCCUCCCAAAGUGCUGGGAUUACAGGUGUGAGCCGUCGCGCCUGGCCAGAAUCUUCUUUUAUUGAGUGUGCGUCUAAAAUAGAUUUCAAGUUACGGGUGGCAGCUGGAGACCCUACUGUUAGUGAGUAAGGAAAAUAACCAUCAGCUUCUUUACUCCCCAGGUGCUGGGUGGAGGGGAACACAGGCCAGGAAAUACUAAUGAUUGUGAUAAAGAGCUCCCCAGGGGCCGGAUGUGGUGGCUCAAGCCUGUAAUCCCAGCAUUCCACGAGGCCAAGGUGGGAGGAUUGUUUGGGCCCAGGAGUUUGAGACCAGCCUGGGCAACAUGGCAAGAUCCUGUCUCUACAAAAUAUAAAAAAUUAGCCAGGCAUGAUGGUGUGCGCCUGUGGUCCCAGCUACUUGGGAGGCUGAGGUGGGAGGAUUGCUUGAAUCUGGGAGGUCGAGGCUGCAGUGAGCUGUGAUCAUGUCACCUGCACUACAGCCUGGGCAACAGGGCAAGGCCCUGUGUCCAAAAAAAAAAAAAAAAAAAAAAGCCGGGCACGGUGGCUUACGCCUGCAGUCUCAGCACCUUGGGAGGCCGAGGCAGGCAGAUCAUGAGGUUAGGAGAUCGAGACCAUCCUGGCUAACAUGGUGAAACCCCGUCUUUACUAAAAAUACAAAAAUUAGCCGGGCGUGGUGGCGGAUGCCUGCAGUCCCAGCUACUCGGGAGGCUGAGGCAGGAGAAUGGUGUGAACCCGGGAGGCGGAGCUUGCAGUGAGCAGAGAUCACACCACUGCACUUCAGCCUGGGCGACAGAGCGAUACUCUGUCUCAAAAAAAAAGUCCCCAGGACCCAAGGAAGCUGCCCAGAAGUUUUCUGAAGAGGCUCCCUGCUGCAGCUCUGAAGAGGAACAGGCUGUGCUGCUGCCCCUGCUUUCAGGAUGCUUGCAGCUUUCUCCCGCUCUCUCAGUAAGGUCUGCUGAGCACUGCACUGACGGCUCCCAGUCCCCUCUCAGUGAAGACACCAAGAAGCAGCAGCCAAGCAGCAGUCGUGGCUGCCUCCCAGUGGCCCCGGCUGUAAUCUUCUGUUCAAGGUGCCCACACCAGAUCUCAGCUGUAGAAAGCAGAGAGGCUUCAGCUGCCCUAAGAGCUGGCUCUGCGGCUGGUGACUCAGCGGGGGUGAGGGUUGAGGCGGGGGAGUGGGGGUUGGGACUUGGGGCCUGAGGACUCAUCACUGAUGACAACAAAGCCCAGGGGAUUUUGUGCAGAAGACAGGAAGCUGAGUCCCAAGAACAAGCCCAGCAGCAGAACUGCAAAAUCUAAUGAAUCCCCAGUAAUUCCAUUUAUGCCACUGAAUCCUCCCUGUGGGUUCAGAAAAACAGAUCCCUGCUUCAUGCUUCCUAAAAAUGCAGCAUGAACCAAGAUCUAAAUUCCACAACCAAGUGACCCCUCUUUCUCUUUUCUGCUGCCCACCUUCCCCGCCCCAGCCCACACCCACCCCCAAGUCCACAAGAACAUCCAGAGUGAUGUGGGUGGAGAUUUUCCUUUAUUUGAUUUUAUUUUGGAGAGGAAGGGCUAGAGCAAAAAGAUGAUGCCAACACACCGGGCACUAGAAUGACCCCUGCACAUGCAGAACACACGGACACUCAAGCUGGAUUAGUGACUGAGCAAAUGUGCCCCGUGGAGAGAAUGUCACCAGAGCUGCAAAAGCCCCCCGACCCCAGCUUUUAUUAGUUUUAAGACCCCCAACCACACCCACCCCAGGUCUCCUUGUUUUCAGUAAGCAGACCUCCUAGCAAACUGGGCUUUUACUCCUGUGGGCUCAGUGCCACAUCCCCUCAAAUAAACAUGCAUCCUCUAGAGCAAAAGGGAAAUUGACAGGAUGCUGGAACGCCGAGAGAUGGGAUGCUUUAUUUUUCAUUAUCCACCAGCUUGGGAGAAAGGCCACCUUCCAUCGCACCAGUGAGAGGCGGGAAAGAGCGAUCGGGCCCUUUCCCGUCUCUCAGGCCUUGUGCAACAUGGCCCUGGCUGCUCACUCCAGCCCUGCCUGACUUUAAACAAACCCAGUCAGUACCCUUCCACCUCUUGCCUUGGGAAGAAGACAUUUGAGAGCUCACAGAUAUAGUGCAACCGGUUAUCCAAACCAACAUGUUCUCUUGCUCAGCUUCUGUUCUAUCCAAAGGUCUCAUCCUGCUCCCCCAAGGGGAUUUCUGAUAUCUGAAAACCCCAAACCUGACUCCAGGCCUCCCCAGCAACGUGUGAGCCCCAUGGAAUGUAUUUAUUUCAUUGCAACAACCCCUCACAACCCGGCCUUCCUGCAUUUCCCGAGCGGUCUUGGGUUUUUCUCAGCAUCUCUCCCGGUGGCGUGUUGUGGUGCCCUGACUUGGAGGUGUGCAGGGUGGCAGGGGAAGUAUCAGGUGCCUUUGCUUUCUGUCCUCUCCUCGUCAGCCGUCUGAGCGUUGCUGACAGCGCGAAGCUGCCCCUGGGCUGCAGGCUUCACCGACAGGACCAAGCGUUUGCGGAACGUCUCACAGAGCACGAUGUACACAAAGGGGUUGAGGCAGCUGUUGGCAUAGCCCAAGCUGAUGGCCGCAUUGUAUAAGUAGACAAAGGUGAGGGUCGGGCGGCUGAUGGACAACUGGGUCAGCUGUAGCACAUAGUAGGGUGCCCAGCACACAAAGAAGACCAGACAGAUGGCGAUGGCUGUGCGGGUCACCCUCUUUGUCCGCAGCCGGAUGCUGCGCUGGGAGGCGGGGGCCACUGAGGACGUCAUGCGCUGCAGGAUCCUCACGUAUGCGGCUGUGAUGACCACAAAAGGCAGGGCAAAGGCCAGGAAAAACUGGUACAGGGUGAACCAGUAGAGGUCAGUGUCUGGGUUGGGCAGGCGUAUGCCGCAGCCCACUGCACCUCCUGGGAAGGGGAUGAGUCUGGCAUACAGCCACACAGGGGUGAUGCUGAUGAAGGAGAGGGCCCACAGGAGGCAGAUCACCAGGGUGGCCACAGAGGGCUUCCGGAACUUCGUGGAAGAGAUGGGGUGGACAGUGGCCAGGUAGCGGUCAAUGGCCAUGGCGGUCAGGAUGUAGGUGCUGGUGAACUGACUAUUGGCAUCCAUGGCCGUGAUGAGGGUGCACAUGGUCUCCCCAAAGUGCCACACCCCAUUGCCCAUGAGCUGGUGGAUCAUGAAGGGCAUGCCCAGGAGAAAGAGGAGAUCUACUACCGAGAGGUUGAUGAUGAAGAUGUCGGGGACGUUGUUGCACCAGUGCAGCUUGGACUUCUUCACGACCGCGAAGAUGACCGUGGAGUUCCCGAUGAUGCCCAGGAGGCAGAUGGUGCCGAACACCGAAGGCAUGAUGAUGUUGAUGUAGGAGAUGCUCCCCGUGCGAGGAGGUGAUCCUGGGGACAGAAGGAGCAAGCGUUGGCUGUUUGACAUGGGCUUUGCUCUGAGAACUGACAUCCUGCUGGCAUGCUCAGCCUCCAGCGACCCACCGUUCAUCUGGAAUCCUCUCCCACCAUUCUCCCUCCCUUCACUGUUGCUAAUCUUGUCCCUUUUCCCUUCUCCAUGAGUUUCCUGGUGAAUCCUACCAGAGUGCCCUGAGCCAUCUGUCUUGGAAGGACACAACAUGCCUGCCUCCUGCAGGCACCAGAGGCAAGAACCACAGUUGUCUGCAGAGAUUACUCUGUGAGCCCCGGGCUUCACCAGGAAAACUCGUCAGCAUAGCCAGAAGGACACAAAAGCUCUACACAUCCCCAGUGAAAUGAGGAAGCCCACUUCAGCUGCUGCCGUCCCCGCUGGCAGCUCUCACCAGGGACUGUUCAGAGGCACCGGUAUUUCCCUUCCCAGUGAAUUUCUCAAAGUCUUGGUUUUCUGGGGGAUCAACUUAUGAGCAACCAAAAAAAAUACAAUGUUUACUACAAA
Long non-coding RNA from Homo sapiens (human), 4505 nucleotides. RefSeq lists it as uncharacterized. The transcript has 2 exons. The record is from RefSeq and is a predicted model, not a curated record. Lineage: Eukaryota; Metazoa; Chordata; Mammalia; Primates; Hominidae.